RNAcentral lists this unclassified non-coding RNA (1101 nucleotides) under Hevea brasiliensis (rubber tree). Lineage: Eukaryota; Viridiplantae; Streptophyta; Magnoliopsida; Malpighiales; Euphorbiaceae. The record is from RNAcentral.
GGUGAUCUAAGCCCACCCCUCCGAUAUGGGCGGAUAAACAAAUUGACAGCUCCACAAUGUCCGAUGCCAUCAGCCCCCUUCUCCGGCACCGCUUAUUGUAGCUUCAAGGGCUUCGUUUCCAUGGCGGUGGUGGCGGCCGUGGGUUCCGGCGGCCUCCCCGGCCUCAAAUCCGCCGAUAACUGUUCGCCACUCAGCCGCGCCGGCUUGGCUCGGAGCUUCCCCUGUUUGAUUUCUGCCUCUAAGAGAAGAUUAUCUUCUAUAUCUAUUAAAGUUCCUAGAGCUGCAUCUCCAACUGCCGUUGACGGCGGAGCUUCCAACAAAACCGAUUCAACUCCUACUCCCAAAGUUAUAAUAGAUCAAGACUCAGAUCCAGAUGCAACUAUUGUGGAGAUCACUUUUGGUGACCGUCUGGGAUCUCUUCUCGACACUAUGAAUGCCCUUAAGAAUUUAGGUCUGAAUGUCGUCAAAGCUAGUGUAUUCUUGGAUUCUUCGGGCAAGCACAACAAGUUUUCUAUCACAAAAGCUUCAACUGGUCGUAAAGUUGAUGACCCUGAGUUGUUAGAAGCAAUACGCUUGACGAUUAUAAACAAUCUGCUCGAGUAUCACCCGGAGUCUAGCACCCAAUUGGCUAUGGGAGCAACUUUUGGGGCUGAGCCACCAACCCAAACGAUUGAUGUUGAUAUUGCAACCCGUGUAAAUGUUUAUGAUGAUGGCCCUGACAGGAGCUUACUUGUGGUCGAAACAGCUGACCGCCCAGGAUUACUGGUUGACCUUGUCAAGAAUAUCACUGACAUAAACGUCACAGUACAAUCAGGAGAGUUUGACACAGAGGGAUUAUUGGCCAAAGCAAAGUUUCAUGUCAACUACCGGGGUAAACCGAUUAGUAAGCCUUUGCAACAGGUUCUUGCUAAUAGCUUGCGGUACUUCUUAAGGAGGCCAGCAACCGAGGAGGCAAGUUUCUAGCCACCUUAAACAGCAAAAAUUCUGAUCUGGAUUCAGAUUAAAUUUAAGGAGACAUACUAUUAUAUAUCAUUUAAGUUUCUUCUCUGUGGGCCCUUUUAAUUUCCCUUAAUUGGGAAUGAUAUCUAUAUUAGAUCUGGG